AUUGAACGCUGGCGGCAGGCCUAACACAUGCAAGUCGAGCGGAUGAGGGGAGCUUGCUUCCUGAUACAGCGGCGGACGGGUGAGUAAUGCCUAGGAAUCUGCCUGGUAGUGGGGGACAACGUUUCGAAAGGAACGCUAAUACCGCAUACGUCCUACGGGAGAAAGUGGGGGAUCUUCGGACCUCACGCUAUCAGAUGAGCCUAGGUCGGAUUAGCUAGUUGGUGAGGUAAAGGCUCACCAAGGCGACGAUCCGUAACUGGUCUGAGAGGAUGAUCAGUCACACUGGAACUGAGACACGGUCCAGACUCCUACGGGAGGCAGCAGUGGGGAAUAUUGGACAAUGGGCGAAAGCCUGAUCCAGCCAUGCCGCGUGUGUGAAGAAGGUCUUCGGAUUGUAAAGCACUUUAAGUUGGGAGGAAGGGCUGUAGGCUAAUACCCUGCAGUUUUGACGUUACCGACAGAAUAAGCACCGGCUAACUUCGUGCCAGCCGCCGCAGUAA
RNAcentral lists this ribosomal RNA (500 nucleotides) under uncultured bacterium. Its description in RNAcentral is "partial 16S ribosomal RNA". It matches the Rfam family "Bacterial small subunit ribosomal RNA", at positions 30 to 523 of the family's 1533-position model. The record is from RNAcentral.